GAGUUUGAUCCUGGCUCAGGAUGAACGCUGGCGGCGUGCUUAACACAUGCAAGUCGAACGAAGCGCCUUAUUUGAUUUUCUUCGGAACUGAAGAUUUGGUGACUGAGUGGCGGACGGGUGAGUAACGCGUGGGUAACCUGCCCUGUACAGGGGGAUAACAAUCAGAAAUGACUGCUAAUACCGCAUAAGACCACAGCACCGUCAUGGUGCCAGGGGGUAAAAACUCCGGUGGUACAGGAUGGACCCGCGUCUGAUUAGCUGGUUGGUGAGGUAACGGCUCACCAAGGCGACGAUCAGUAGCCGGCUUGAGAGAGUGAACGGCCACAUUGGGACUGAGACACGGGCCCAAACUCCUACGGGAGGCAGCAGUGGGGAAUAUUGCACAAUGGGGGAAACCCUGAUGCAGCAACGCCGCGUGAGUGAAGAAGUAUUUCGGUAUGUAAAGCUCUAUCAGCAGGGAAG
RNAcentral lists this ribosomal RNA (462 nucleotides) under uncultured microorganism. Its description in RNAcentral is "bacterial SSU rRNA". It matches the Rfam family "Bacterial small subunit ribosomal RNA", at positions 9 to 447 of the family's 1533-position model. The record is from RNAcentral.